CCUACGGGUGGCAGCAGUGGGGAAUAUUGCGCAAUGGGCGAAAGCCUGACGCAGCGACGCCGUGUGAGUGAUGAAGGUCUUCGGAUCGUAAACCUCUGUCAGCAGGGAAGAACGGUCACUGUGCUAAUCCGCAGUGCAUCGACGUUACCUGCAAAGGAAGCACCGGCUAACUCCGUGCCAGCAGCCGCGGUAAUACGGAGGGUGCGAGCGUUAAUCGGAAUUACUGGGCGUAAAGCGCUCGUAGGCGGUAUGUCAAGUCAAGGGUGAAAUCCCCGCGCUCAACGUGGGAACUGCCUUUGAAACUGGCAAACUGGAGUGUGUGAGAGGAGAGUGGAAUUCCAGGUGUAGGAGUGAAAUCCGUAGAGAUCUGGAGGAACAUCAGUGGCGAAGGCGACUAUCUGGAACAUAACUGACGCUGAGGAGCGAAAGCGUGGGUAGCAAACAGGAUUAGAUACCCCAGUAGUC
Molecule: ribosomal RNA, 465 nt
Filed under: uncultured bacterium
Lineage: Bacteria
Description: partial 16S ribosomal RNA
Rfam family: Bacterial small subunit ribosomal RNA
Source: RNAcentral